GAUGAACGCUGACAGAAUGCUUAACACAUGCAAGUCUACUUGAAGCUAACUUCGGUUAGUGGAGGGUGGCGGACGGGUGAGUAACGCGUAAAGAACUUGCCUCACAGACUGGGACAACAUCUGGAAACGGAUGCUAAUACCGGAUAUUAUGAUUCUUCUGCAUGGAAGGAACAUGAAAGCUAUAUGCGCUGUGAGAGAGCUUUGCGUCCCAUUAGCUAGUUGGAGAGGUAACGGCUCACCAAGGCGAUGAUGGGUAGCCGGCCUGAGAGGGUGAACGGCCACAAGGGGACUGAGACACGGCCCUUACUCCUACGGGAGGCAGCAGUGGGGAAUAUUGGACAAUGGACCAAAAGUCUGAUCCAGCAAUUCUGUGUGCACGAUGAAGUUUUUCGGAAUGUAAAGUGCUUUCAGUUGGGAAGAAGCAAGUGACGGUACCAACAGAAGAAGCGACGGCUAAAUACGUGCCAGCAGCCGCGGUAAUACGUAUGUCGCAAGCGUUAUCCGGAUUUAUUGGGCGUAAAGCGCGUCUAGGCGGCUACAUAAGUCUGAUGUGAAAAUGCGGGGCUCAACUCCGUAUUGCGUUGGAAACUGUGUGGCUAGAGUACUGGAGAGGUAAGCGGAACUACAAGUGUAGAGGUGAAAUUCGUAGAUAUUUGUAGGAAUGCCGAUGGGGAAGCCAGCUUACUGGACAGAUACUGACGCUAAAGCGCGAAAGCAUGGGUAGCAAACAGG
RNAcentral lists this ribosomal RNA (732 nucleotides) under uncultured bacterium. RNAcentral describes it as "bacterial SSU rRNA". It matches the Rfam family "Bacterial small subunit ribosomal RNA", at positions 28 to 776 of the family's 1533-position model. The record is from RNAcentral.